AUGCCACAGCCUUGCUUGUGUGUGCUUCUU
Molecule: non-coding RNA, 30 nt
Filed under: Rattus norvegicus (Norway rat)
Lineage: Eukaryota; Metazoa; Chordata; Mammalia; Rodentia; Muridae
Source: RNAcentral